This is a non-coding RNA of Agrobacterium tumefaciens 5A, 49 nucleotides long. The record is from Rfam. Lineage: Bacteria; Pseudomonadati; Pseudomonadota; Alphaproteobacteria; Hyphomicrobiales; Rhizobiaceae.
CCUGCGAGUAGAAGCGGUCUGAGCCUCGGUUCUGGACAUUGCUCGACGG